GGGUUGUGAGGUUAAGCGACUAAGCGUACACGGUGGAUGCCCUGGCAGUCAGAGGCGAUGAAGGGCGUGCUAAUCUGCGAUAAGCGCCGGUAAGGUGAUAUGAACCGUUAUAACCGGCGAUACCCGAAUGGGGAAACCCAGUGUGAUUCGUCACACUAUCAUUAACUGAAUCCAUAGGUUAAUGAGGCGAACCGGGGGAACUGAAACAUCUAAGUACCCCGAGGAAAAGAAAUCAACCGAGAUUCCCCCAGUAG
Molecule: ribosomal RNA, 254 nt
Filed under: Salmonella enterica subsp. enterica serovar Anatum
Lineage: Bacteria; Pseudomonadati; Pseudomonadota; Gammaproteobacteria; Enterobacterales; Enterobacteriaceae
Also listed under: 1 other name
Description: partial 23S ribosomal RNA
Rfam family: Bacterial large subunit ribosomal RNA
Source: RNAcentral